This 749-nucleotide long non-coding RNA is filed under the name Homo sapiens (human). Its description in RNAcentral is "HSALNT0391127". Lineage: Eukaryota; Metazoa; Chordata; Mammalia; Primates; Hominidae. The record is from RNAcentral.
ACCUCCAAGUGUAAGUGGGGCUCUCCAGCACACCUGGAUGUGGAGGUGUGAUGCAGAGUGGUGGCUGCUCGUGACACUCAUUUCACCCCUUUCUGUGCAGGUGCCAGAAGCCCAGGAAGCACACAUCAAGGCUCGCUUGCCAGCGGGGUGCUGCCAAUAAAAUGUAGUCACGUGGAAUUUGGGAUGUGGAAAGGAGGUAGAAGUCAUCCUUUCCUCCCCCAUAGCAGCAGGUGUGCAGGCUCUGGUGGUCAGCUGGACUCCAUACUCCCCCACCAGUCACCAGCCUGGGGACCGUGGGGCUGCAAGGACCUCAGCAGCAGUUUCCCAAGUUUCCUGACUUCUUCCAUCCUCUGGAAAUCAGCUGUGAGCUAUCAGCUUCCCAGUUUGCACAAUUCAUCAAGAAAUUAUGCGGGGUCACUGGCACAAAUGAUGAGGCAUCUCCUGGAAGCUUAACUUCUUAUCCAUCCCAUCUCUUGGACAGAUGAUGCCAGUUAAUUACUUUGAAUGCUCCUCCACCAAGCCAAGGCCAGACUCCUGCAAUCAUAGGAUGGCAACACCACCUCUAAAGCACAGAACUUCAGCCUUUGCUUCGGAAGUGGCACCAUGGUCUCUUCAUUUUCCCUUUCUUCAAGGUCAGAAAACUGAAGCUGUUAGGAGUUUUAGUGUUAAGUUCCUUCCGAGGAUGUUAAUUAGGCUUCAAACUGUUUUGUUCUGAGAAAUAAAAACUAAACUCCAGUCAUUCAAGCUAA